Molecule: microRNA precursor, 78 nt
Filed under: Trichobilharzia regenti
Lineage: Eukaryota; Metazoa; Platyhelminthes; Trematoda; Strigeidida; Schistosomatidae
Description: mir-3492 microRNA precursor family
Rfam family: mir-3492 microRNA precursor family
Source: Rfam by way of RNAcentral
AGCCUUCUGUAUCCAUUCUGAGAUUACGUCAGAGAUCAACCCGUUGGGGCUGAUGUAGUUUCCCAAAUAAGUGAAGCG